GUGCACCAGGCGAGAAUACUUUACAAUGCGGGAAACCGCGAUAAGGGGACACCGAGUGCCAGCAUAUUAUGUUGGCUGUCCACAUGUGUAAACGGCAUGUGUUAGCAAGGGCCGGGCAAGACCGGUGCCAGCCGCCGCGGUAACACCGGCGGCCCGAGUGGUAAUCACUUUUAUUGGGUCUAAAGGGUCCGUAGCCGGUUUGAUCAGUUCUUCGGGAAAUCUGACAGCUCAACUGUUAGGCUUCCGGGGAAUACUGUCAGACUUGGGACCGGGAGAGGUAAGAGGUACUACAGGGGUAGGAGUGAAAUCUUGUAAUCCCUGUGGGACCACCAGUGGCGAAGGCGUCUUACCGGAACGGGUCCGACGGUGAGGGACGAAAGCUGGGGGCACGAACCGGAUUAGAUACCCCUGUAGU
Molecule: ribosomal RNA, 415 nt
Filed under: uncultured microorganism
Description: bacterial SSU rRNA
Rfam family: Archaeal small subunit ribosomal RNA
Source: RNAcentral